RNAcentral lists this ribosomal RNA (978 nucleotides) under Philine kinglipini. Its description in RNAcentral is "large subunit ribosomal RNA". The stretch from base 381 to 978 matches the Rfam family "Archaeal large subunit ribosomal RNA", at positions 1423 to 2786 of the family's 2987-position model. The record is from RNAcentral. Lineage: Eukaryota; Metazoa; Mollusca; Gastropoda; Cephalaspidea; Philinidae.
GCUUUCUUUUACUUAAAACGAGAGAUAAAUUUAUAAACUGAAAAGAAAAACUAGCAAAUAAAUUAGUAUGUUGUACUUUUUGAAUAACGGUUUCUCAAAUUUUAAAAAAUUCUUAACCCGAAAUGAGAAGAUCUAAUUUGGAGAAUAUAUUCUAUGUAGCAAAAUGGAAGAAGUAUCAAAAAUUAGGGACGAAAAGUCUUCAAUUCUCAAGUUAUCUGGAUUCCCUGCUAAAUACAUUUAGUGUAGAAAAGACAGUCUGUCGGUUUUUAGGUCGACAGAAGGAAAUAUAUUUUAUUUUACUUAUUCUAAGAUUAAUAUUUUAAUGAAAACCAAAUAGAAUUAUUAAUUAAUAGAAAUAUUUUUAAUGUAGCGGGAUAAUAACUAAAUCCUAUUUAUGGGAAAAUUAGUAGUAAUAGAUAAAAAGCUUAAAGGAACUCGGCAAAUAUGUACUUCGACUGUUUACCAAAAACAUAGCCCUAAGAAAAUAAUUUUGGGUGAAGCCUGCCCUAUGAUCUAAUUAAAUGGCCGCGGUACUCUGACCGUGCUAAGGUAGCAUAAUCAAUUGGCUUUUAAAUGGAGUCUGGAAUGAAAGGAGAUACGGGGUACAGCUGUCUCUAUGCUUUUAUUACGAAUUUACUAAUCAGGUGAAAAGGCCUGAGAAAGAAAAAAGACGAGAAGACCCUUAGAGUUUUACUUUUUGUUGGGGCGACACAGAGUCACGAAAACACUCUGAUAUUUAUAUGACGGAUUUAUCAUGUUUAGAUAAACUACCUGAGGGAUAACAGCAUAAUCUUUUUAAGGUUUGUGACCUCGAUGUUGGACUAGGAAGUCUGCUAGCUAGCCGCUAGCAAGAGGGAUUCUGUUCGAAUUUUUACUCCUACAUGAUCUGAGUUCAGACCGGCGUAAGCCAGGUCAGUUUCUAUCUUUUUAAUUAAGAAUUUUAGUACGAAAGGACCAAAUUCUGUUUAGUAAAAUUUA